GACGAACGCUGGCGGCGUGCCUAAUACAUGCAAGUCGAGCGGAUCUUGUCCUUCGGGACAAGAUUAGCGGCGGACGGGUGAGUAACACGUGGGUAACCUGCCUGUAAGACUGGGAUAACAUUCGGAAACGAAUGCUAAUACCGGAUACGCGGUUUGGUCGCAUGACCGAACCGGGAAAGAUGGAGCAAUCUAUCACUUACAGAUGGACCCGCGGCGCAUUAGCUAGUUGGUGAGGUAACGGCUCACCAAGGCGACGAUGCGUAGCCGACCUGAGAGGGUGAUCGGCCACACUGGGACUGAGACACGGCCCAGACUCCUACGGGAGGCAG
Molecule: ribosomal RNA, 329 nt
Filed under: uncultured Bacillota bacterium
Lineage: Bacteria; Bacillati; Bacillota
Description: bacterial SSU rRNA
Rfam family: Bacterial small subunit ribosomal RNA
Source: RNAcentral